GACGAACGCUGGCGGCGUGCUUAACACAUGCAAGUCGAACGGAAAGGCCCUGCUUGCAGGGUGCUCGAGUGGCGAACGGGUGAGUAACACGUGGGUGAUCUGCCCCUUACUUUGGGAUAAGCCUGGGAAACUGGGUCUAAUACUGGAUAGGACCAUGCUGUAGGUGGUGUGGUGGAAAGAUUAGUUUCGGUAAGGGAUGAGCUCGCGGCCUAUCAGCUUGUUGGUGGGGUAAUGGCCUACCAAGGCGUCGACGGGUAGCCGGCCUGAGAGGGUGGACGGCCACAUUGGGACUGAGAUACGGCCCAGACUCCUACGGGAGGCAGCAGUGGGGAAUACUGCACAAUGGGCGCAAGCCUGAUGCAGCGACGCCGCGUGGGGGAUGACGGCCUUCGGGUUGUAAACUCCUUUCAGCCAUGACGAAGCCCUUGUGGUGACGGUAGUGGUAGAAGAAGCACCGGCUAACUACGUG
Molecule: ribosomal RNA, 469 nt
Filed under: uncultured bacterium
Lineage: Bacteria
Description: partial 16S ribosomal RNA
Rfam family: Bacterial small subunit ribosomal RNA
Source: RNAcentral